GCCUCAGAUUGGUAGGACUACCCGCUG
This 27-nucleotide ribosomal RNA is filed under the name Macalpinomyces muelleri. Its description in RNAcentral is "partial 28S ribosomal RNA". Lineage: Eukaryota; Fungi; Basidiomycota; Ustilaginomycetes; Ustilaginales; Ustilaginaceae. The record is from RNAcentral.